UACGUAUGGUGCAAGCGUUAUCCGGAUUUACUGGGUGUAAAGGGAGCGUAGACGGCUGUGUAAGUCUGAAGUGAAAGCCCGGAGCUCAACCCCGGGACUGCUUUGGAAACUAUGCAGCUAGAGUGUCGGAGAGGUAAGUGGAAUUCCCAGUGUAGCGGUGAAAUGCGUAGAUAUUGGGAGGAACACCAGUGGCGAAGGCGGCUUACUGGACGAUGACUGACGUUGAGGCUCGAAAGCGUGGGGAGCAAACAGG
Molecule: ribosomal RNA, 253 nt
Filed under: Coprococcus comes ATCC 27758
Lineage: Bacteria; Bacillati; Bacillota; Clostridia; Lachnospirales; Lachnospiraceae
Description: partial 16S ribosomal RNA
Rfam family: Bacterial small subunit ribosomal RNA
Source: RNAcentral